CUGGAGGUGGCGUUUCUGAGGUCCGCCAAAUUGCUUUACGACAAACUUGGCACACCUGAGAAACGCCUGCUCCA
Ascaris suum (pig roundworm) is the source of this 74-nucleotide non-coding RNA. The record is from Rfam. Lineage: Eukaryota; Metazoa; Nematoda; Chromadorea; Rhabditida; Ascarididae.